Molecule: ribosomal RNA, 243 nt
Filed under: uncultured bacterium
Lineage: Bacteria
Description: partial 16S ribosomal RNA
Rfam family: Bacterial small subunit ribosomal RNA
Source: RNAcentral
UGGCGACGGCGCACGGGUGCGUAACGCGUAUGCAACCUACCCAUAACAGGGGGAUAACACUGAGAAAUUGGUACUAAUACCCCAUAACAUCAGGACCGGCAUCGGUUCUGGUUGAAAACUCCGGUGGUAUAAGAUGGACCCGCGUUGGAUUAGCUAGUUGGCAGGGUAACGGCCUACCAAGGCGACGAUCCAUAGCCGGCCUGAGGGGGUGAACGGCCACAUUGGGACUGAGACACGGCCCAG